This 497-nucleotide ribosomal RNA is filed under the name uncultured bacterium. RNAcentral's name for it is "partial 16S ribosomal RNA". It matches the Rfam family "Bacterial small subunit ribosomal RNA", at positions 28 to 507 of the family's 1533-position model. The record is from RNAcentral.
GAUGAACGCUGGCGGCGUGCCUAAUACAUGCCAGUCGAGCGAACGGACGAGAAGCUUGCUUCUCUGAUGUUAGCGGCGGACGGGUGAGUAACACGUGGAUAACCUACCUAUAAGACUGGGAUAACUUCGGGAAACCGGAGCUAAUACCGGAUAAUAUUUUGAACCGCAUGGUUCAAAAGUGAAAGACGGUCUUGCUGUCACUUAUAGAUGGAUCCGCGCUGCAUUAGCUAGUUGGUAAGGUAACGGCUUACCAAGGCAACGAUGCAUAGCAGACCUGAGAGGGUGAUCGGCCACACUGGAACUGAGACACGGUCCAGACUCCUACGGGAGGCAGCAGUAGGGAAUCUUCCGCAAUGGGCGAAAGCCUGACGGAGCAACGCCGCGUGAGUGAUGAAGGUCUUCGGAUCGUAAAACUCUGUUAUUAGGGAAGAACAUAUGUGUAAGUAACUGUGCACAUCUUGACGGUACCUAAUCAGAAAGCCACGGCUAACUACGUG